This is a long non-coding RNA of Aphis gossypii (cotton aphid), 843 nucleotides long. RefSeq lists it as uncharacterized. NCBI's taxonomy places the organism in Eukaryota, Metazoa, Arthropoda, Insecta, Hemiptera, Aphididae. The transcript has 4 exons. The record is from RefSeq and is a predicted model, not a curated record.
GAAACCGCGUUGACGCACUUCGCGUCACGGAUCGGCGCUGACGGCGGCCGUUAAUAAUAAUAUUAAUAAUUGUCGAAAACAGCAUUUAGGUAUUAAGAUUGUGUACAACAACUCAAGCGAACACGCGAAUUAAAAAAAAAAAAAAAUGAAAUAACUAGUUGUAGCAGUAUCAUCAACCAUGUGGGUCAAACUAGAGCGAGAUGAAAACAAAACAAACGGCAAAUAUAGAUGAUAUUCUCGGUACGGGUUGAGUGUUCCUGCAGUGGUUUUCACGAGUUGUUUUUUUUCGCACCGAUCGAGGCGCAAGAGAGAUCUACCGCGUUCAUAUAACUGCCGUGGCGAUUUCUAUCUCUGCAGUAUUUUCAGUACUGACAACUGGUAAUUACCGGGCUUACCUACCGACAUGUUGAGUUGGACCACUACACGAUAUUGUACUAUUAUAUAGUAUUUUUUCCUGAAAUUUGAAAAUGUAAAAUCAAGGGAUGCCUGCACGAUACAUAUGAUUUGCAGUAGACUGCCGAUAAAUAACGACAUUAUAUUACCUCUCCAUACAGGAUACAGUUGCAUAAAGCAAAUACCUGCAAUAUGCUCUCUUGAAAAGUUAAACAAUAUGUAAACAUACAUAUAGGUAGCUACACUACUUAAGUAAGUUAGUAUAAAAUAGUUAGAAGUGUUAACCUAAGUGUAAGGAAGUUUUUUUUUUUGUAACGGUUAUUGUUGCAACGAGGUUAAUUAUUUUUACCUAAAAGUAAUAUAUAAUAGCAAAUUGAAAACCGUGUAAUUAGUGUUAUUUGUUUAGACUAGCCUAUAGAAAAUAAAUGUCCAUACGUCAUAGACCCAAAC